Molecule: ribosomal RNA, 327 nt
Filed under: uncultured eukaryote
Lineage: Eukaryota
Description: partial 18S ribosomal RNA
Rfam family: Eukaryotic small subunit ribosomal RNA
Source: RNAcentral
CCCUUAGAUGUUCUGGGCUGCACGCGCGCUACACUGAUACUUUCAGCGAGUCCACCACCUUGCCUGGGAGGGUGGGGUAACCUCUGGAAAGUGCAUCGUGAUGGGGAUCGAUUAUUGCAAUUUUCGAUCUUGAACGAGGAAUUCCUAGUAAGCGUGAUUCAUCAGAUCGCGUUGAUUACGUCCCUGCCCUUUGUACACACCGCCCGUCGCUACUACCGAUUGAAUGGUUUAGUGAGGCCUCGGGACUGGCGCGCUCGAGUAGCAAUACACCUGCGCGCCGGGAACUUGGUCAAACUUGAUCAUUUAGAGGAAGUAAAAGUCGUAACA